AGGUUACUGCUAUCGGUGUUCGCCUAAGCCAUGCGAGUCAUAUGUUCUUCGUGAACAUGGCGUACUGCUCAGUAACACGUGGAUAACCUGCCCUUGGGUCCGGCAUAACCCCGGGAAACUGGGGAUAAUUCCGGAUAACGCACAUAUGCUGGAAUGCUUUAUGCGUCAAAUGGAUUCGUCCGCCCAAGGAUGGGUCUGCGGCCUAUCAGGUAGUAGUGGGUGUAAUGUACCUACUAGCCUACGACGGGUACGGGUUGUGAGAGCAAGAGCCCGGAGAUGGAUUCUGAGACAUGAAUCCAGGCCCUACGGGGCGCAGCAGGCGCGAAAACUUUACAAUGCGGGAAACCGUGAUAAGGGGACACCGAGUGCCAGCAUCAUAUGCUGGCUGUCCGGGUGUGUAAAAUACACCUGUUAGCAAGGGCCGGGCAAGACCGGUGCCAGCCGCCGCGGUAACACCGGCGGCCCGAGUGGUGAUCGUGAUUAUUGGGUCUAAAGGGUCCGUAGCCGGUUUGGUCAGUCCUCCGGGAAAUCUGACGGCUUAACCGUUAGGCUUUCGGGGGAUACUGCCAGACUUGGAACCGGGAGAGGUAAGAGGUACUACAGGGGUGGGAGUGAAAUCUUGUAAUCCCUGUGGGACCACCUGUGGCGAAGGCGUCUUACCAGAACGGGUUCGACGGUGAGGGACGAAAGCUGGGGGCACGAACCGGAUUAGAUACCCGGGUAGUCCCAGCCGUAAACGAUGCUCGCUAGGUGUCAGGCAUGGCGCGACCGUGUCUGGUGCCGCAGGGAAGCCGUGAAGCGAGCCACCUGGGAAGUACGGCCGCAAGGCUGAAACUUAA
RNAcentral lists this ribosomal RNA (839 nucleotides) under uncultured archaeon. RNAcentral describes it as "bacterial SSU rRNA". It matches the Rfam family "Archaeal small subunit ribosomal RNA", at positions 21 to 859 of the family's 1478-position model. The record is from RNAcentral.